Molecule: ribosomal RNA, 291 nt
Filed under: uncultured soil bacterium
Lineage: Bacteria
Description: partial 16S ribosomal RNA
Rfam family: Bacterial small subunit ribosomal RNA
Source: RNAcentral
AGAACGAACGCUGGCGGCAUGCCUAAUACAUGCAAGUCGAACGAACACUUCGGUGUUAGUGGCGCACGGGUGCGUAACGCGUGGGAAUCUGCCCUUGGGUUCGGAAUAACAGUUGGAAACGACUGCUAAUACCGGAUGAUAUCGAAAGAUCAAAGAUUUAUCGCCCAGGGAUGAGCCCGCGUAGGAUUAGCUAGUUGGUGAGGUAAAGGCUCACCAAGGCGACGAUCCUUAGCUGGUCUGAGAGGAUGAUCAGCCACACUGGGGACUGAGACCACCGGCCCAGACCUCCGU